UGGACACAUAACGUGCAUGAUGAGAACGAAAAAUUGCCUAUAAAUAGAGAUUUUCCAAUCUCUUUUCCUCACAACCCUUUUCUCUAAUCUCUCUUAACCUCAAAUCUCUCCUAAUCACCACAUUCUACAUAAUUGUUUCUCUGUGUUGUGUUAUUUUUACAUUGUGGAUUCUUUCUUUAUUCCGUUUUUCUUUUUUCUAACCUUUUCCAGUGAGAGAGUCCUUGAGUAGUGAGAGUUUUUUUAUUAUUUAUUUUUAUUUAUUCAUGGCCAGCUGUCCUAAAAGAU
This 285-nucleotide long non-coding RNA is filed under the name Lathyrus oleraceus (garden pea). Its description in RNAcentral is "Pisum sativum (pea) long non-coding RNA (PSAT_LNC003670)". Lineage: Eukaryota; Viridiplantae; Streptophyta; Magnoliopsida; Fabales; Fabaceae. The record is from RNAcentral.